AUUCAUUUAGUUUAAUAAAACAUUUUAUUUUCAUUAAAAAAAAGACUUAUAGUUUGUGAAUA
RNAcentral lists this transfer RNA (62 nucleotides) under Membranacea stenoprocessa. Its description in RNAcentral is "tRNA-Glu". Lineage: Eukaryota; Metazoa; Arthropoda; Insecta; Hemiptera; Cicadellidae. The record is from RNAcentral.